CGGGGGGGCAAGCGUUGUUCGGAAUUACUGGGCGUAAAGGGCGCGUAGGCGGUUCGCUAAGUCGGAUGUGAAAACUCUGGGCUCAACCCAGAGACUGCAUCCGAAACUGACGGGCUAGAGUUCUGGAGGGGGUAGCGGAAUUCCUGGUGUAGCGGUGAAAUGCGUAGAUAUCAGGAGGAACACCGGUGGCGAAGGCGGCUACCUGGACAGAAACUGACGCUGAGGCGCGAAAGCUAGGGGAGCAAACAGGAUUAGAUACCCUGGUAGUCCUAGCCCUAAACGAUGGAUACUUGGUGUGACUGGGAUUGAAUCCAGUCGUGCCGAAGCUAACGCAUUAAGUAUCCCGCCUGGGGAGUACGGUCGCAAGGCUG
RNAcentral lists this ribosomal RNA (371 nucleotides) under uncultured organism. Its description in RNAcentral is "bacterial SSU rRNA". It matches the Rfam family "Bacterial small subunit ribosomal RNA", at positions 527 to 896 of the family's 1533-position model. The record is from RNAcentral.